AGUGAACGCUGGCGGUAGGCCUAACACAUGCAAGUCGAACGGCAGCACAGUAAGAGCUUGCUCUUACGGGUGGCGAGUGGCGGACGGGUGAGGAAUACAUCGGAAUCUACUUUUUCGUGGGGGAUAACGUAGGGAAACUUACGCUAAUACCGCAUACGACCUACGGGUGAAAGCAGGGGAUCUUCGGACCUUGCGCGAUUGAAUGAGCCGAUGUCGGAUUAGCUAGUUGGCGGGGUAAAGGCCCACCAAGGCGACGAUCCGUAGCUGGUCUGAGAGGAUGAUCAGCCACACUGGAACUGAGACACGGUCCAGACUCCUACGGGAGGCAGCAGUGGGGAAUAUUGGACAAUGGGCGCAAGCCUGAUCCAGCAAUACCGCGUGGGUGAAGAAGGCCUUCGGGUUGUAAAGCCCUUUUGUUGGGAAAGAAAAGAAGCAGGUUAAUACCCCGCUGUUCUGACGGUACCCAAAGAAUAAGCACCGGCUAACUUCGUG
Molecule: ribosomal RNA, 492 nt
Filed under: uncultured bacterium
Lineage: Bacteria
Description: partial 16S ribosomal RNA
Rfam family: Bacterial small subunit ribosomal RNA
Source: RNAcentral